AUAAUAAGACCCUCGGGCCAGCCUUACCCCCGACCCUCGGGCUGCAGUGUGGACGCUGGGGUAGCAGGCCUGGGGACGUGGCCCUCACCCCGCACCCCGUGCCGAGCUCCUGGGGGACCCGGUGCCUGGGCGGCGAGCCGGCAUAUUUUGAAAGGAACCUGCAGUUCUGAGCGGUGGGCUCCGCAGGGGGCUGCAGUACUCAGCGAGCCGGGCUGCAGGCAGGCGCUCCGUCGCUGGGCUUCGUCGUCACAGAGCACGGGCAGGCAGAUUAGGGACGUUCGCGCGGCCUCUCCUCCCUGUACCCGGCUGUCCCGUCUCGCCGGAACCUGCUGUCCGUGGUGUGAGCGUCGCUGGGGCUCCCACGUCAGCACUGCGGCUGCCCCUCGCGCGUCUGUCACUGAGACGGCCCCUUCCCCCGAGCCUCGCGAACCCACCGCGCUGUUGGCAGGGUGGCCUGCGGCAGCUCCCGUGUCUCGGCCAUCACAGAAGUGGAGCCGGCUGGGACCGUGUCCUGGGGUGGGGCAGGGGACGCCGUGGGUGCUGUCAUCCCGCCAACACGGUGAAGCUCUGUGUAGCACAGCCGCGAGGACGGUUUCCUCCCGAGUCUUAAAUAAACCUCCGGUAGCCUCCCUUUGUUUUUCUGGGUUUUCUCGUUGUUGUUUUGCUUUGCUUUGUCUUAGUUUUUGGACACACAGAGCAGAGAGGAGGCCCCGGCCCACCCUGCUCCUGCUGGAACGUUCCGGAAGGGCUCUGUGCCAGCAGGGGUUAGGUCCCCGUGUCCCCACGGCACUCUUGCACGUGGUGCCGCACCACGCCCCUCCUCACCUGGAGGUCCUUCCGCACCGGCCGGGGGGAGCUUGGCCACGCUGCCGUGCCCGCAGGCAGUCCUUGGGCUUGCCGUGGGUUGGGGAGGGGUUUCCUUUUCCAAACUGGACGUGUUUCAAGCUCCCAGAGAGCCCACCGGCCCAGGCCUCAUCUGCCCCCGGCGGCACCCCGGUUUCUCUGCACCCCACGCCCAGUCCAGGCCUCAUCUGCCCCCGGCGGCACCCAGGUUUCUCUGCACCCCACGCCCAGUCCAGGCCUCAUCUGCCCCCGGCGGCACCCAGGUUUCUCUGCACCCCACGCCCAGUCCAGGCCUCAUCUGCCCCCGGCGGCACCCCGGUUUCUCUGCACCCCGCGCCCAGUCCAGGCCUCAUCUGCCCCCGGCGGCACCCAGGUUUCUCUGCACCCCGCGCCCAGUCCAGGCCUCAUCUGCCCCCUGUGGCACCCAGGUUUCUCUGCACCCCACGCCCAGUCCAGGCCUCAUCUGCCCCCGGCGGCACCCAGGUUUCUCUGCACCCCACGCCCAGUCCAGGCCUCAUCUGCCCCCGGCGGCACCCAGGUUUCUCUGCACCCCACGCCCAGUCCAGGCCUCAUCUGCCCCCGGCGGCACCCAGGUUUCUCUGCACCCCACGCCCAGUCCAGGCCUCAUCUGCCCCCGGCGGCACCCAGGUUUCUCUGCACCCCACGCCCAGUCCAGGCCUCAUCUGCCCCCGGCGGCACCCAGGUUUCUCUGUACCCCACGCCCAGUCCAGGCCUCAUCUGCCCCCAGCGGCACCCAGGUUUCUCUGCACCCCACACCCAGUCCGCUCUGCUGGCAGCAGGCAGUCGGGGUUCCAGGCUGUCCCUCUUGUUGCCAGUGCCUCCCGGCUGCCCUUGUUACCAAGCUGA
This is a long non-coding RNA of Oryctolagus cuniculus (rabbit), 1710 nucleotides long. NCBI's taxonomy places the organism in Eukaryota, Metazoa, Chordata, Mammalia, Lagomorpha, Leporidae. The record is from Ensembl.